RNAcentral lists this unclassified non-coding RNA (219 nucleotides) under soil metagenome. Its description in RNAcentral is "partial contains 5.8S ribosomal RNA, internal transcribed spacer 2, and large subunit ribosomal RNA". The record is from RNAcentral.
AACGCACGAGACCUGCGGACCUGCGGAAGGAUCAUUAUAGAGGACUAAAACUCCCUAAACCCAUGUGAACUUACCACUGUUGCUUCGGCGGGAUCGCCCCGGGCGCCGUCUGCGUGCCCCGGAGCAAGGCGCCCGCCGGAGGACCCCAAACUCUGUUUUACGUUGGCACGUCUGAGUGGAAUCAUACAAAUGAAUCAAAACUUUUAACAACGGAUCUCU